Molecule: ribosomal RNA, 254 nt
Filed under: uncultured bacterium
Lineage: Bacteria
Description: partial 16S ribosomal RNA
Rfam family: Bacterial small subunit ribosomal RNA
Source: RNAcentral
UACGGGGGGGGCAAGCGUUGUUCGGAAUUACUGGGCGUAAAGGGCGCGUAGGUGGUCAGACUAAGUCAGAUGUGAAAUUUCUGGGCUUAACCCAGACGGGUCAUUUGAUACUGGUCGACUAGAGUGUGGAAGGGGUUACUGGAAUUCCUGGUGUAGCGGUGAAAUGCGUAGAUAUCAGGAGGAACACCGGAGGCGAAGGCGGGUAACUGGGCCAACACUGACACUGAGGCGCGAAAGCUAGGGGAGCAAACAGG